This 226-nucleotide long non-coding RNA is filed under the name Lathyrus oleraceus (garden pea). RNAcentral describes it as "Pisum sativum (pea) long non-coding RNA (PSAT_LNC037259)". The record is from RNAcentral. Lineage: Eukaryota; Viridiplantae; Streptophyta; Magnoliopsida; Fabales; Fabaceae.
UUUUUUAACUUAUUGAUAUAUUUUUAAAAGGAAAGGUUAAAAAGUUGCAUUCAUCUAAGAAGACUUCUUAGCUUCCAUUGUUUCUUCCCCAAAAAUAUGAAUCUUAUGUUUCAUUUCCUCUGAGCGUUCCAUCGUUCGUCUUCUUCUUCUAGAUUGUGUUUGAGUUUCAGCAUUCGCCUUCUUCUUCUCCCAUAUUAUGUUUAUUCUUUUCGAAAACCCAUUAAUC